GCACAGGUGCCAGUUGUGCCAUAAACCGCCGCUGUGUGUACGUGAGUGCCAGCGUAGGCCGUCAGUCUUUCAGCGGCGGUGAGAGCGAGAGGACGUGUCGCUCCGUUUUCUGUCUGUUCUCUUCAUAGAAAAUGUGAAAACGUCCUAGUGUUAAUAACAAGGAAAUACAAAACAUAUACGCGAGAGAAAAGAGGAAAUUAUCCCUGAAAGAAAUAGAAAUUUGCCAAAUAAACCGAUAAAAGGAAUGAGAAAAUAAUAACACACAAAGAAUUUUAUCCAUAAACUCAUACCGUCCAUUAAAAUAAGAGAGAGAAAAAAAUAAGAUAAACAACAACAACAA
Molecule: long non-coding RNA, 340 nt
Organism: Penaeus monodon (black tiger shrimp)
Lineage: Eukaryota; Metazoa; Arthropoda; Malacostraca; Decapoda; Penaeidae
Exons: 2
Source: RefSeq, a predicted model, not a curated record